Molecule: unclassified non-coding RNA, 395 nt
Filed under: soil metagenome
Description: partial contains 5.8S ribosomal RNA, internal transcribed spacer 2, and large subunit ribosomal RNA
Rfam family: 5.8S ribosomal RNA (bases 1-121)
Source: RNAcentral
GAUGAAGAACGUAGCGAAAUGCGAUAAGUAAUGUGAAUUGCAGAUUUCAGUGAAUCAUCGAAUCUUUGAACGCACCUUGCGCUCCUUGGUAUUUCCGAGGAGCAUGCCUGUUUGAGUGUCAUUAAAUUCUCAACUCUCCAACUGUUGUCAUGACUGGUGGUAGAGCUUGGACGUGAGGGUUCUGCCGGCUCCUUGUUGAGUCUGGCUCCCUUGAAAAUGAUUAGCGCAGCUUUGCACUGUCCGCUUCAGGUGUGAUAAUUUAUCUACGCCCGACUAGCGACGCGCAUGAAUGGCUUUGUGCUUCUAACCGUCUCGAAAGAGACAAUACCUUUUGAACUUGACCUCAAAUCAGGUAGGACUACCCGCUGAACUUAAGCAUAUCAAUAAGCGGAGGA